Panthera tigris altaica (Amur tiger) is the source of this 106-nucleotide small nuclear RNA. The record is from Ensembl. Lineage: Eukaryota; Metazoa; Chordata; Mammalia; Carnivora; Felidae.
GUGCUCGCUUUGGCAGCGCAUAUACUAAACUUGGAAAAAUGAAGAGAAGCUUCGCAGGAUCCCUUCUGGGGAUGACACACAAAUUUGUGACGCAUUCCAUUAAAAA